Molecule: transfer RNA, 70 nt
Filed under: Aethaloperca rogaa
Lineage: Eukaryota; Metazoa; Chordata; Actinopteri; Perciformes; Serranidae
Description: tRNA-Pro
Rfam family: tRNA
About the family: Transfer RNA (tRNA) molecules are approximately 80 nucleotides in length. Their secondary structure includes four short double-helical elements and three loops (D, anti-codon, and T loops).
Source: RNAcentral
CAAAGAGUAGUUUAGUUUAGAAUUCCUGCUUUGGGAGCCGGCGGUAAGAGUUAGAAUCUCUUCUCUUUGA